Molecule: long non-coding RNA, 203 nt
Filed under: Selaginella moellendorffii
Lineage: Eukaryota; Viridiplantae; Streptophyta; Lycopodiopsida; Selaginellales; Selaginellaceae
Description: long non-coding RNA (SMOE_LNC001237)
Source: RNAcentral
UUCCUUUGGAGGCGGCGCCUCCAAAUGGGACUCGUGGGUAAUUUGCAAGAGGGGGCUGCCGCGCUGGUGGAGGUACUCGGCGAGCGCCUCUACUAGGCUACUGUGGCGGCCUCCACAAAUUCCUUAAUUCUAAAGAAGCACACACCACCUUUCGCGAGGUGGUCACUUUUCUUAAUUUCUACGAGUCUGAAUUUGAAGAAAAC